Molecule: ribosomal RNA, 490 nt
Filed under: uncultured bacterium
Lineage: Bacteria
Description: bacterial SSU rRNA
Rfam family: Bacterial small subunit ribosomal RNA
Source: RNAcentral
CAAUGGGCGAAAGCCUGAUCCAGCAAUGCCGCGUGAGUGAUGAAGGCCUUAGGGUUGUAAAGCUCUUUUACCAGGGAUGAUAAUGACAGUACCUGGAGAAUAAGCUCCGGCUAACUCCGUGCCAGCAGCCGCGGUAAUACGGAGGGAGCUAGCGUUGUUCGGAAUCACUGGGCGUAAAGCGUGCGUAGGCGGUGACUCAAGUCAGAGGUGAAAUCCCCGGGCUCAACCUGGGAACUGCCUUUGUGACUGCAAGGCUAGAGUACGGCAGAGGGGGAUGGAAUUCCGCGUGUAGCAGUGAAAUGCGUAGAUAUGCGGAGGAACACCGAUGGCGAAGGCAAUCCCCUGGGCCUGUACUGACGCUCAUGCACGAAAGCGUGGGGAGCAAACAGGAUUAGAUACCCUGGUAGUCCACGCCCUAAACGAUGUCAACUGGUUGUUGGGUCUUAACUGACUCAGUAACGAAGCUAACGCGUGAAGUUGACCGCCUGGG